GGUGUAAGUUUUACGUUCAAUUGUUGUAAUUAAACCGAUUGUUUCUGAAGAUGGUCACAAUUACUCAAACAAUUAUCUGAUUUUAUUUGCUUUUCUUAUUUUCUAUAUGUUUUAUUUGGCUCCCCUUAAAAAUCUUUCAAUUUGGCUUCCAUAUAAAUAAUCUGGGUAUUUUUUGUUUUGUUUAUUUAAUAUAUUUUUUUACUUUAUACUCCCUCCAUCUUAUAAUACAGUGUUUUUAAAAUAUAAUGCAUUCUAAAGGACAAAAAUAAUUUUACAUUAAAUACUUUCUAUUUAUCCACCAGUCACCGGCAAUUACAUUGAUGAUAGCAUCUG
Molecule: long non-coding RNA, 333 nt
Filed under: Sorghum bicolor (sorghum)
Lineage: Eukaryota; Viridiplantae; Streptophyta; Magnoliopsida; Poales; Poaceae
Description: long non-coding RNA (SBIC_LNC007431)
Source: RNAcentral